UGUCUCGCAUCCUGCGCGCGCACAAUGGGCGUACCCACACAACCACGACGCACCUAGGCCCUGGCUAGCCCUGCCGCACACGCACACCUCCUGGCGCCUCUGCACCCCCGUGCGGCUACCCCAGUUUGCACACCCACCCACAGCAAACAGGACGGCACACUCCAGCGCUGCUUCAACGCCUAUGCCAAACACCUCAGUGCUGCUGCUGCCGGCUGCUGCCUACCGCCCGCGCAGCAGCCCCAGC
This 244-nucleotide long non-coding RNA is filed under the name Chlamydomonas reinhardtii. Its description in RNAcentral is "long non-coding RNA (CREI_LNC000561)". Lineage: Eukaryota; Viridiplantae; Chlorophyta; Chlorophyceae; Chlamydomonadales; Chlamydomonadaceae. The record is from RNAcentral.